This is a non-coding RNA of Notechis scutatus (mainland tiger snake), 147 nucleotides long. The record is from RefSeq and is a predicted model, not a curated record. NCBI's taxonomy places the organism in Eukaryota, Metazoa, Chordata, Lepidosauria, Squamata, Elapidae.
UUAUAGAUGAAGAGAGAGAGAGAGAGAGAGAGAGAGAUCACUUUCCUCUGGGACUUGCCAUAACGUGGGACUGGUUGGGGGAAAGUUGGAGCAAUAAAGGGGCAUUUUGAACUAUCAGCUGAUUAUGCUGCCUUUGAACUACCAACU